RNAcentral lists this ribosomal RNA (560 nucleotides) under Parapanteles sp. glypt13. RNAcentral's name for it is "partial 28S ribosomal RNA". The record is from RNAcentral. Lineage: Eukaryota; Metazoa; Arthropoda; Insecta; Hymenoptera; Braconidae.
GAUCGAAUGAAGAGAUUCAUCGUCAGCGUAUUCAKUAUUAAUGCAGYCUAUGAUGUGAURAUAGAACCCUCGUGGUCACUAAAUUAUACUUGCUUGUAUUAUUAUUGCUGGGUAUGUCGGCGUGCACUUCUCUUCUAGUAGAACGUCGCAACCCGUUAAAUGUUUAUCUAUGGCUUGGAUGGUUGCCUUUGAUAUUUUUACAUAUUGAAGACCUUCAAUGUCCUGAUGAACUGUUUGACGGUAUWCAUAUGGUAUUGGGCCGCAAUUAUUUUNWUUCURGUAGUGCGGAUCUAAUGCCGUCGCUGGACAAAGUYUGCUGUUGGCUGUGUAAUGUCUUUAACUGGCUUAUUUACCGGUUAGCGAUGCUACUGCUUUGGGUACUUACAGGACCCGUCUUGAAACACGGACCAAGGAGUCUAACAUGUGCGCGAGUCAUUGGGAUAUAUUUAUAUAAUYCAAACCUAAAGGCGCAAUGAAAGUAUAGAUUGUCUUACGACAAUUGAGGGAAGAUGGGUUACGUUACGAUGUAAUUCCGCACUCCCAGGACGUUCUAUNCUCAU